Ahaetulla prasina is the source of this 737-nucleotide long non-coding RNA. RefSeq lists it as uncharacterized. The transcript is spliced from 3 exons. Lineage: Eukaryota; Metazoa; Chordata; Lepidosauria; Squamata; Colubridae. The record is from RefSeq and is a predicted model, not a curated record.
AGCUUGAUUGGUUGUUGGAGGGCGCUUAUUUUAUAAUCUCCGAACAUCUGUCAGAGAGAAAAAAUGGUGAAGAAAGAAAAUAAUAUAAGCUGUGACGUGCGCCUGCAUUUUUAUACCAGGACGUAGAUCUAAGACGAGAGCUUGUGUUUAAAUCUUAAACAGAGAACUGCUUUUGCUGACAAUCUAGGAAAACAUUAAAUGUGGCAUCUACCCCCAACAAGAAUUGCCAGAAUGUCUAAGGAUAAAUUUGAAAAAUGCUGAAAAUGUCAUCAGAUACCUGGAUCAUAUUACCACACGUGGUGGACAUGCAUUGAAGCUAAAAGAUAUUGGACUAAAAUACACAAGUGGUUGGAAAAAUGAUUAAAAAGCAUAUUGACUUUAAGCCAGAAGUCUUUCUGUUGGGAAUUAUACCGGAGAUAUAUACUAGAGAUAUAAAAUAUUUGAUUGUGAAUAUUCUUACAGCAGCUAGGAUUGUUUUGCAAAAAAUUGGAAAAAUGAAAAAUUACCUUCGCAAGAUGAAAUAAUUAGAAAAAUGUUGGAAUGCGCAGAGAUGAGUAAGUUAACAUUUGAAAUUAGAGAACAAGAAGAUAAGCAAUAUUAUAAAAUAUGGGAGUUAUUCUACAGUUGGUUAAACAGAAAGAUACGUUAGGAAAAAUGAGUAUAAGAUAUAUGUAUGAAAGAGAUGUUUAUUUUCUGAAUGCACAGAAGAUAUGUUAACACCCAUGCAGCACGUUGUA